Molecule: long non-coding RNA, 635 nt
Organism: Oncorhynchus keta (chum salmon)
Lineage: Eukaryota; Metazoa; Chordata; Actinopteri; Salmoniformes; Salmonidae
Exons: 3
Source: RefSeq, a predicted model, not a curated record
GGGGGGAGAAAGCAUUCUUAUCAUUCACCCUACUAUAGUGUGUUGUCUGAGUCUAUUUGUGCAUAUAGGAGUGUUGUAUCAGUGUAUUUAUCCUAUCAGGGUGCAUAUAGGAGUGUUGUAUCUGUGUAUUUAUCCUGUCAGUGUGCAUAUAGGAGUGUUGUAUCUGUGUAUUUAUCCUGUCAGUGUGCAUAUAGAAGUGUUGUAUCUUCGUAUUUAUCCUGUCAGUGUGCAUAUAGGAGUGUUGUAUCUGUGUAUUAUCCUGUCAGUGUGCAUAUAGGAGUGUUGUAUCUGUGUAUUUAUCCUGUCAGGGUGCAUAUAGGAGUGUUGUAUCUGUGUAUUUAUCCUGUCAGGGUGCAUAUAGGAGUGUUGUAUCUGUGUAUUUAUCCUGUCAGUGUGCAUAUAGGAGUGAGUGUUGUAUCUGUGUAUUUAUCCUGUCAGGGUGCAUAUAGGAGUGUUGUAUCUGUGUAUUUAUCCUGUCAGUGUGCAUAUAGGAGUGAGUGUUGUAUCUGUGUAUUUAUCCUGUCAGGGUGCAUAUAGGAGUGUUGUAUCUGUGUAUUUAUCCUGUCAGUGUGCAUAUAGGAGUGUUGUAUCUGUGUAUUUAUCCUGUCAGUGUGCAUAUAGGAGUGUUGUAUCUG